GGAAUAUAGCUCAGGGGUAGAGAACUUGCCUAGCAUGGGUGAAGCCCUGGGUUCAAUCCCCAGUACCA
This 68-nucleotide transfer RNA is filed under the name Marmota monax (woodchuck). RNAcentral describes it as "tRNA.Ala". The record is from RNAcentral. Lineage: Eukaryota; Metazoa; Chordata; Mammalia; Rodentia; Sciuridae.